Molecule: ribosomal RNA, 495 nt
Filed under: uncultured bacterium
Lineage: Bacteria
Description: partial 16S ribosomal RNA
Rfam family: Bacterial small subunit ribosomal RNA
Source: RNAcentral
GACGAACGCUGGCGGCGUGCCUAAUACAUGCAAGUAGAACGCUGAAGGAGGAGCUUGCUUCUCUGGAUGAGUUGCGAACGGGUGAGUAACGCGUAGGUAACCUGCCUGGUAGCGGGGGAUAACUAUUGGAAACGAUAGCUAAUACCGCAUAAUAUUGACUAUUGCAUGAUAGUCAGUUGAAAGGUGCAACUGCACCACUACCAGAUGGACCUGCGUUGGAUUAGCUAGUUGGUGGGGUAACGGCUCACCAAGGCGACGAUACAUAGCCGACCUGAGAGGGUGAUCGGCCACACUGGGACUGAGACACGGCCCAGACUCCUACGGGAGGCAGCAGUAGGGAAUCUUCGGCAAUGGACGGAAGUCUGACCGAGCAACGCCGCGUGAGUGAAGAAGGUUUUCGGAUCGUAAAGCUCUGUUGUAAGAGAAGAACGAGUGUGAGAGUGGAAAGCUCACACUGUGACGGUAUCUUACCAGAAAGGGACGGCUAACUACGUG